This 72-nucleotide transfer RNA is filed under the name Patescibacteria group bacterium. RNAcentral describes it as "tRNA-Ile". It matches the Rfam family "tRNA". From Rfam's summary of the family: Transfer RNA (tRNA) molecules are approximately 80 nucleotides in length. Their secondary structure includes four short double-helical elements and three loops (D, anti-codon, and T loops). The record is from RNAcentral.
GGGCGCGUAGCUCAACGGCAGAGCAUCCGUCUUAUACACGGCAGGUUGGAGGUUCGAAUCCUCCCGCGCCCA